Hyla sarda is the source of this 740-nucleotide long non-coding RNA. RefSeq lists it as uncharacterized. The record is from RefSeq and is a predicted model, not a curated record. Lineage: Eukaryota; Metazoa; Chordata; Amphibia; Anura; Hylidae. The transcript is spliced from 4 exons.
ACAUCGGCUGCGCAGGAACCAGAAGUUUCAGGGGUAAACCAAGGAACUGAACUUUUUAUACACUUAUCGUGUGUCUGAUCGCGGGGGUCCGACUGCUGGGACCCACCAUGCAAUGUCCUAUAUGGCUUCCUAGAUACUUAUACAUCUCCACCUUCCUGGACAAACAUAAGUGAGGCGAGACUUCACUGCGGGAGGUUCCAGGCUGUGCCCACUCAUCAAUCCUUGAUCUGCGUAUAAUUCAAGAUGACAAGAUUUCCAUAUCUAGCUUUCUGUUCUUCAGGGUUCAUACACUUCAAGGAGACUUCUUCAACCGAAACGGCCCGGUGUAUGACAACAGAAUUGCCAGUGCUCAUCCUCGGGCCGUGCGGGAUGAGUGUCCUUGAUGAGAUCUCCUCCCACCAUGCAGUUUAUCUUCCACAUGCCAAAGGGCUGUGACUGAGAUGAAUGUCUGCAAUGUGAACACCAGUGGAAUCAACAGAUGACAUAAGUCAAGUCAGAGCAAAGAGAAAGCACAAAGGAGAUUUACAAAGACUGGAGGAAGACAACCAUAUGACACAGCUGAAAAAACUUCAUGAACCAUUUCCUAAACAACUGUGUGCACAUAGUCUGGGAGUUCACAUGGGGUGUUUUAAUGUCUGCAAUUAUUACAACCAUAAAAAGUGCAUGGUACUUAUCGUACUUUUAACGUCUGUUUUAUGUGCGAAAUAAUGUGUAUUCGUUUUCUUGCACGUUUUUGGUAC